RNAcentral lists this ribosomal RNA (484 nucleotides) under uncultured bacterium. RNAcentral describes it as "partial 16S ribosomal RNA". It matches the Rfam family "Bacterial small subunit ribosomal RNA", at positions 28 to 523 of the family's 1533-position model. The record is from RNAcentral.
GACGAACGCUGGCGGCGUGCUUAACACAUGCAAGUCGAACGAUGAAGCUAGAGCUUGCUCUGGUGAAUUAGUGGCGAACGGGUGAGUAACACGUGAGUAACCUGCCCCGAACUCUGGGAUAACUGCUGGAAACGGUAGCUAAUACUGGAUACGACCUACGAAGGCAUCUUCUGUAGAUGGAAAGAAUUUCGGUUCGGGCCGGACUCACGGCCUAUCAGCCUGUUGGUGAGGUAAUGGCUCACCAAGGCGCCGACGGGUAGCCGGCCGGAAAGGCUGACCGGCCACACUUGGACUGAUACACGGCCCAGACUCCAACAGGACGCAGCAGUGGGGAAUAUUGCACAAUGGGCGCAAGCCUGAUGCAGCAACGCCGCGUGAGGGAUGACGGCCUUCGGGUUGUAAACCUCUUUUAGUAGGGAAGAAGCGAAAGUGACGGUACCUGCAGAAAAAGCACCGGCUAACUACGUGCCAGCCGCCGCAGUAA